This is a long non-coding RNA of Callorhinchus milii (elephant shark), 681 nucleotides long. RefSeq lists it as uncharacterized. The transcript has 3 exons. The record is from RefSeq and is a predicted model, not a curated record. Lineage: Eukaryota; Metazoa; Chordata; Chondrichthyes; Chimaeriformes; Callorhinchidae.
AGAAAUGCACAUUUAUUUAAUAUGCAAGAACAGAAUUCAAUCAGCGUCUUUGUCCACCAAUAAAUUGCUGAUGCCGAUCUUUGUGUUUUGUAAAUGGAAACCUCACAACCUGUAUUGUGUUGAUGUUUUUUCUUUUGGGUGAGCUGAGUGUCUGGCACAUGGGGAAACCCAUCAAGAGUAUCCAAACCAAACUGAGAAUUCCACGCCUCUCACCUACACAUGGAAAUCCCAGAGAUGGAUAAUUGGAAUGCGCUCUCUUCCUGGAGUGAAACUGUCUGCAUUGAGUUUUGAAGAUAAAGAAAAGGAGGAACCAUUACUUAUUCAAUGAGACACUUGCCUCGAGAUCCUAAAUGUUGUUGGAAGCAUUCUGAUUAAAAACACUAGGAAGCACAAGUCUUUCAUCCUGUCAAGCCCACACCCAACACAGACAGCUGAACCCAGUAUAUCCAAAACAAUGCUGGACAGACGAUCAGGGCUGCAGGAUCAAGGCAGGAUUGCUAUGUGGCGUUCUCCCACUGGGUUUACACAUCUUUCACUUCCACUUUCUGAUUAAUUUAUGCAUCGACCGGAUGAUUCAACCAUGGACAUUUUCAGCGUCUGCCCCUUCGCAACAACUGUAAAAGCAGCUUGUAAAGUGAGUUGAAAGCUACUGAAAUAAAUAAAUAUCAACCAUUUUACUGG